CGCGGCCUAUCAGCUUGUUGGUGGGGUAAUGGCCUACCAAGGCGACGACGGGUAGCCGGCCUGAGAGGGCGACCGGCCACACUGGGACUGAGACACGGCCCAGACUCCUACGGGAGGCAGCAGUGGGGAAUAUUGCACAAUGGGCGAAAGCCUGACGCAGCGACGCCGCGUGAGGGAUGACGGCCUUCGGGUUGUAAACCUCUUUCAGUAGGGACGAAGCGCAAGUGACGGUACCUACAGAAGAAGCACCGGCCAACUACGUGCCAGCAGCCGCGGUAAUACGUAGGGUGCAAGCGUUGUCCGGAAUUAUUGGGCGUAAAGAGCUCGUAGGCGGUCUGUCGCGUCGGCUGUGAAAACCCGAGGCUCAACCUCGGGCCUGCAGUCGAUACGGGCAGACUGGAGUACUGCAGGGGAGACUGGAAUUCCUGGUGUAGCGGUGAAAUGCGCAGAUAUCAGGAGGAACACCGGUGGCGAAGGCGGGUCUCUGGGCAGUUACUGACGCUGAGGAGCGAAAGCGUGGGGAGCGAACAGGAUUAGAUACCCUGGUAGUCCACGCCGUAAACGUUGGGCGCUAGGUGUGGGGGCCAUUCCACGGUCUCCGUGCCGCAGCUAACGCAUUAAGCGCCCCGCCUGGGGAGUACGG
This 643-nucleotide ribosomal RNA is filed under the name uncultured bacterium. RNAcentral describes it as "bacterial SSU rRNA". It matches the Rfam family "Bacterial small subunit ribosomal RNA", at positions 232 to 885 of the family's 1533-position model. The record is from RNAcentral.